GACGAACGCUGGCGGCGUGCUUAACACAUGCAAGUGGAGCGACGAACCAGGCUUCGGCCUGGGGCAGAGCCGCGAACGGGUGAGUAACACGUGGGUAACCUGCCUCGAUGACCCGGGACAACCCGGGGAAACCCGGGCUAAUACCGGAUGUGCUCCUUCACAUCAGUGAAGACAGGAAAGGAAGCUUCGGCCUCCGCAUCGAGAUGGGCCCGCGGCCCA
RNAcentral lists this ribosomal RNA (219 nucleotides) under uncultured bacterium. Its description in RNAcentral is "partial 16S ribosomal RNA". It matches the Rfam family "Bacterial small subunit ribosomal RNA", at positions 28 to 240 of the family's 1533-position model. The record is from RNAcentral.